UUAUUGGAGAGUUUGAUCCUGGCUCAGGACGAACGCUGGCGGCGUGCCUAAUACAUGCAAGUCGAGCGAAUCAAUGGGAGCUUGCUCCCUGAGAUUAGCGGCGGACGGGUGAGUAACACGUGGGUAACCUGCCUGUAAGAUUGGGAUAACUCCGGGAAACCGGAGCUAAUACCGGAUAACAUUUUGAACCGCAUGGUUCAAAAUUGAAAGGUGGCUUUUGCUACCACUUACAGAUGGACCCGCGGCGCAUUAGCUAGUUGGUGAGGUAACGGCUCACCAAGGCAACGAUGCGUAGCCGACCUGAGAGGGUGAUCGGCCACACUGGGACUGAGACACGGCCCAGACUCCUAC
Molecule: non-coding RNA, 351 nt
Filed under: Metabacillus litoralis
Lineage: Bacteria; Bacillati; Bacillota; Bacilli; Caryophanales; Bacillaceae
Description: Bacillus litoralis Bacterial small subunit ribosomal RNA
Rfam family: Bacterial small subunit ribosomal RNA
Source: Rfam by way of RNAcentral